RNAcentral lists this long non-coding RNA (208 nucleotides) under Elaeis guineensis (African oil palm). RNAcentral describes it as "long non-coding RNA (EGUI_LNC047561)". Lineage: Eukaryota; Viridiplantae; Streptophyta; Magnoliopsida; Arecales; Arecaceae. The record is from RNAcentral.
CCCCCUUCCUAUGAUCCAUUGAUGACGACGCUGCUCUACGGCAAGGAGACCCUAGAGUAUAAAGAUAUGGUCUCAGUGCUGCGGUCCAAUGAACAGUGAGAGAAGUUGACCAAGGAAGGUGCUCCUUAGGAGGGUUUGGCCAUGGGGAGAGAUCAGGAAGAAGAAGAAAAAGAGGCAAGCAAAGGGAUGGUCAAAAUCUCGAAAGAGC